This 330-nucleotide ribosomal RNA is filed under the name uncultured Gemmata sp. Its description in RNAcentral is "bacterial SSU rRNA". It matches the Rfam family "Bacterial small subunit ribosomal RNA", at positions 568 to 898 of the family's 1533-position model. Lineage: Bacteria; Pseudomonadati; Planctomycetota; Planctomycetia; Gemmatales; Gemmataceae. The record is from RNAcentral.
CGCGUAGGCGGGCGGGCAAGUCAGGGGUGAAAUCCCACGGCUCAACCGUGGAAGUGCCUUUGAUACUGCCGGUCUUGAGGGAGGUAGGGGCGUGCGGAACUUCCGGUGGAGCGGUGAAAUGCGUAGAUAUCGGAAGGAACACCGGUGGCGAAAGCGGCGCGCUGGACCUCUACUGACGCUGAGGCGCGAAAGCCAGGGGAGCAAACGGGAUUAGAUACCCCGGUAGUCCUGGCCCUAAACGAUGGGUACUAGGUAGUGGACUUACAUGGGUUCACUGCCGAAGCAAAAGUGAUAAGUACCCCGCCUGGGGAGUAUGGUCGCAAGGCUGAA